This 297-nucleotide ribosomal RNA is filed under the name uncultured bacterium. RNAcentral's name for it is "partial 16S ribosomal RNA". It matches the Rfam family "Bacterial small subunit ribosomal RNA", at positions 475 to 776 of the family's 1533-position model. The record is from RNAcentral.
CUAUGCGCCUUGCCAGCCCGCUCAGGUGUGCCAGCAGCCGCGGUAAUACGGAGGAUGCGAGCGUUAUCCGGAUUUAUUGGGUUUAAAGGGUGCGUAGGCGGGCAUUUAAGCCGGCGGUCAAAUGUCGGGGCUCAACCCGGCCUGCCGUCGGAACUGGGCGCCUUGAGUGGGCGAGAAGUAUGCGGAAUGCGUGGUGUAGCGGUGAAAUGCAUAGAUAUCACGCAGAACCCCGAUUGCGAAGGCAGCCUUCCGGCGCCCUACUGACGCUGAGGCACGAAAGCGUGGGUAUCGAACAGG